CAGCAACUGCCUGGGCUAAAAAUACAGAAUCCACCAUAAGAAGAAAAAGUAUGUACCAAGCGGGAAAGAAAGAGAAAUUGGGAAGUCUCCCAAAGGAAGAUCAUUGGCAGGAAUCAACCUGCAAAGACAAGGAAGGAGGUUGAUCUUGUGGAAAACUUUUUCCCAUGGGGCAAUGUGCUCAGAUGUUGUCACCUGUAAUGAAAGAGCCAUCUGGUACCAUCAUGGGAGCCAGCCUAAGAGGACAAACCAAACUGCUGAAGAUGACAGAGUAGAAAGAUGGAUGGAUAGUGGGUCCUUGAUGACAUCACAGCCACUGAAUUAACCAACGUUGGAAGUUCUCCGACUCUGGGCAUCUCCUUAAGAGAUAAAAUAAAUAAUCUGUUGUUUACUUGUUGUUUAUGCCAUUUGUCUUUGUUUUUUUUUAACUUGCAGCUGAAAGCAUCGUAAGGGAUAAAGUCAACUCACAGGGUCUAAAGCAUUGCAUCUCUCAGAAUCCCAUCAUGGAAUCCCAUAAUAGAAUUAUUUCUCUGGGAGAGCUAUGAAAUAAAAAAUUAAUAACAGUAAAAAAGAUAAAAAAUAAUAAAAUCAUCAUCAUUGUUAUCGUUAGGCAUCAUGGAAUGCAUAAGUUUUCGAAUAAAAUACAUCUACAUUUAAAAUCCAGCUUUUCAUCUUGCCAGCGUAAGGAAAUUAGUUAACCUCUCUGAUAUUGACACCUCAUGUUUUAAAGGGAACUGAUAUAACAAUAGUUUGCAAGGUUGUUGUAUGAAAUAUAAUAAUGUAUAUAAAGCAUCUGGAACCAAUAACUGGUAGUUCUGUCUAUUGGUCUCAAUUUUCUCAUUUAUAAAAUUGGUAUAAUAAAACUUAGCUCAUAUGGUAUAUGUGAGGCUUAAAAGAGGUCAUAAUCAGUACCUUAUACGUAACUAUAAUAGUUUUUUGGAGGUUGGAGAAUGGAGUGACCAAAUUGACCAGGGAGUGAAAUGAGGGCAUUGCUAUCUGUUGAGGGUGUUGGGAGACACCAGCAGAGCUCUGAAUGUUAGGAGAGGUGCACCACAGGAGGGGCAGAGGGCCCAAAGUCAGCCGUUACCUUCUGCAAUAUUUGACCAGGGGCUAGCUCUCCUUGGAACUAGAAAUCGGGAAGCAAGAUUCAUGUUAUAGACCUCCAG
This 1163-nucleotide long non-coding RNA is filed under the name Equus caballus (horse). Its description in RNAcentral is "lncRNA (ENSECAG00000051217.1)". Lineage: Eukaryota; Metazoa; Chordata; Mammalia; Perissodactyla; Equidae. The record is from RNAcentral.